RNAcentral lists this ribosomal RNA (171 nucleotides) under Neorhizobium galegae. RNAcentral's name for it is "partial 23S ribosomal RNA". Lineage: Bacteria; Pseudomonadati; Pseudomonadota; Alphaproteobacteria; Hyphomicrobiales; Rhizobiaceae. The record is from RNAcentral.
ACCUUAGAUGCUUGGGAAAUCAUUUUGGUUGUCGAACCUUUGGUUCGACGUUGCGGCGAACGAUCGCCGACGGCCUCUGGCCUGUAUGGGAAUUUCCCAAUACAGCGUGGAGCGCGUCGCCGGUCGUCCGGCGUUAAAACCAAAAAUGGUUUCCAAGCAUUGUUAAAAGGU